GAAAGAGAGAGAGAAAAAAGGAAUGAAAAAGGGAAGAGGGAAAAGGCAGCAACACACUUAUAUCUGCUGUCCUGCAAACAAGAGGCAAAUGAGAGAUUGUGAGAGUCAGGGAGAGUGUGCCAGAGUAAGAAGAGAGAGAGAAAAAGAGGAUCUCAGAAAGCUGUGUCCUUGAGAACUGCAUCACAACUCUUUGAAGAGAGUCUGGAGAAGGUUAUCUCAGGAGUGAGGACAGCUUGCAGCAGACACCCGACAAGAAGAAUAUCAGGUUUGUUACUGACUGUGAAGCCUUGACCCGAUAUUGUACACUCUACAGUCGAGUGGGAUGGCCUUCUUUGUCCAACACAAGCACAGAAUAUGGAAAAAGAGCCUACAUGGAACAUGUUGCAAAAAGACUGUAAAUUAACUGAACUUGUUUCAUUGAGAGCACUAAAAAUUACUUCUUUAAAUUCUGACUGUGUUUUUAAUCAUUAUUUUGUAUGACAUUUAAUUGAGUAACUAAUUGUGAUUAUUGUAUAACUUUUGCAGUCUCUCAACCAGGACUCAUUUAAAAACAGGUUUUUAAUAUCAGUGGGAGUUUUCCUGGUGAGAUAAAGGCUAAACAAAAUGAAUGUACAGUGCUUUAGUUCAAAGUUGUGGUUUGUAUCUAAUGCUCCAAGGUCUAUAAUGAUGUUGGACCAAAUAAACUAAGUUAAAGCAAGGAAGACAAGCUGAUUCCUGAAAAACAACAGCAACAACAAAUUUAAUGUACAUUUUUAAUGUAAGAAUUUGUGGAACAGCUGUGGAACAGCUUUAAUGUAAUGUGGCAGUAAUGCUUUUCAUUUUCCUAAAAGAUAUGACAUUUACCUGCCUCAGAGUAACUGAAAAGGACAUCAAACUAUAAAUUGGAACUGUAAAAAACAAUUAAAA
Molecule: long non-coding RNA, 906 nt
Organism: Xiphophorus maculatus (southern platyfish)
Lineage: Eukaryota; Metazoa; Chordata; Actinopteri; Cyprinodontiformes; Poeciliidae
Exons: 4
Source: RefSeq, a predicted model, not a curated record